CCCCUACCCUGUGUUGCCAUCAUUAAGUUGGGGACUCACGGGGGACUGCCGGUGACAAACCGGAGGAAGGUGGGGACGAUGUCAAGUCAUCAUGGCUCUUACGUCCAGGGCUAGAAACGUGCUACAAUGGCUGAUACAAAGGGUUGCAAGACCGCGAGGUGGAGCGAAUCCCAUCAAAGUCAGUCUAAGUUCGGAUCGCAGUCUGAAACCCGACUGCGUGAAGGCGGAGUUGCUAGUAAUCGCGGAUCAGCAUGCCGCGGUGAAUACGUUCCCGGGCCUUGUACACACCGCCCGU
RNAcentral lists this ribosomal RNA (295 nucleotides) under uncultured Actinomycetes bacterium. Its description in RNAcentral is "uncultured actinobacterium partial 16S ribosomal RNA". It matches the Rfam family "Bacterial small subunit ribosomal RNA", at positions 1102 to 1397 of the family's 1533-position model. The record is from RNAcentral. Lineage: Bacteria; Bacillati; Actinomycetota; Actinomycetes.